CCUACGGGAGGCAGCAGUGGGGAAUAUUGCACAAUGGGGGGAACCCUGAUGCAGCAACGCCGCGUGGGUGAAGAAGUAUUUCGGUAUGUAAAGCCCUGUCAGCAGGGAAGAAAAUGACGGUAACUAACCAAGAAGCCCCUGCUAACUACGUGCCAGCAGCCGCGGUAAUACGUAGGGGGCAAGCGUUAUCCGGAUUUACUGGGUGUAAAGGGAGCGUAGACGGCAAGGCAAGUCUGGAGUGAAAGCCCGUGGCUCAACCACGGGACUGCUUUGGAAACUGGGUUGCUGGAGUGCAGGAGAGGUGAGCGGAAUUCCUAGUGUAGCGGUGAAAUGCGUAGAUAUUAGGAGGAACACCAGUGGCGAAGGCGGCUUACUGGACUGUAACUGACGUUGAGGCUCGAAGGCGUGGGGAGCAAACAGGAUUAGAUACCCGUGUAGUC
RNAcentral lists this ribosomal RNA (440 nucleotides) under uncultured bacterium. Its description in RNAcentral is "partial 16S ribosomal RNA". It matches the Rfam family "Bacterial small subunit ribosomal RNA", at positions 338 to 795 of the family's 1533-position model. The record is from RNAcentral.